AGAGUUUGAUCCUGGCUCAGGACGAACGCUGGCGGCACGCUUAACACAUGCAAGUCGAACGAGAGAAGAGGAGCUUGCUUUUCUGAUCUAGUGGCGGACGGGUGAGUAACACGUGAGCAAUCUGCCUUUCAGAGGGGGAUACCGAUUGGAAACGAUCGUUAAUACCGCAUAACAUAAUUGAACCGCAUGAUUUGAUUAUCAAAGAUUUAUCGCUGAAAGAUGAGCUCGCGUCUGAUUAGCUAGUUGGUAAGGUAACGGCUUACCAAGGCGACGAUCAGUAGCCGGACUGAGAGGUUGAUCGGCCACAUUGGGACUGAGACACGGCCCAGACUCCUACGGGAGGCAGCAGUGGGGAAUAUUGCACAAUGGAGGAAACUCUGAUGCAGCGACGCCGCGUGAGGGAAGAAGGUUUUAGGAUUGUAAACCUCUGUCUUCAGGGACGAAAAAAGACGGUACCUGAGGAGGAAGCUCCGGCUAACUACGUGCCAGCAGCCGCGGUAAUACGUAGGGAGCGAGCGUUGUCCGGAAUUACUGGGUGUAAAGGGAGCGUAGGCGGGAUCGCAAGUCAGAUGUGAAAACUAUGGGCUUAACCCAUAAACUGCAUUUGAAACUGUGGUUCUUGAGUGAAGUAGAGGUAAGCGGAAUUCCUAGUGUAGCGGUGAAAUGCGUAGAUAUUAGGAGGAACAUCAGUGGCGAAGGCGGCUUACUGGGCUUUAACUGACGCUGAGGCUCGAAAGCGUGGGGAGCAAACAGGAUUAGAUACCCUGGUAGUCCACGCCGUAAACGAUGAUUACUAGGUGUGGGGGGACUGACCCCUUCCGUGCCGCAGCAAACGCAAUAAGUAAUCCACCUGGGGAGUACGACCGCAAGGUUGAAACUCAAAGGAAUUGACGGGGGCCCGCACAAGCAGUGGAGUAUGUGGAUCAAUUCGAAGCAACGCGAAGAACCUUACCAGGUCUUGACAUCGUAUGCAUAGCUCAGAGAUGAGUGAAAUCUCUUCGGAGACAUAUAGACAGGUGGUGCAUGGUUGUCGUCAGCUCGUGUCGUGAGAUGUUGGGUUAAGUCCCGCAACGAGCGCAACCCUUACUGUUAGUUGCUACGCAAGAGCACUCUAGCAGGACUGCCGUUGACAAAACGGAGGAAGGUGGGGAUGACGUCAAAUCAUCAUGCCCCUUAUGACCUGGGCCUCACACGUACUACAAUGGCUGUCAACAGAGGGAAGCAAAGCUGCGAGGUGGAGCGAACCCCUAAAAGCAGUCUUAGUUCGGAUUGUAGGCUGCAACCCGCCUACAUGAAGUCGGAAUUGCUAGUAAUCGCAGAUCAGCAUGCUGCGGUGAAUACGUUCCCGGGCCUUGUACACACCGCCCGUCACGCCAUGGGAGUCGGUAACACCCGAAGCCUGUAGUCUAACCGCAAGGAGGACGCAGUCGAAGGUGGGAUUGAUGACUGGGGUGAAGUCGUAACAAGGUA
RNAcentral lists this ribosomal RNA (1470 nucleotides) under metagenome. RNAcentral describes it as "bacterial SSU rRNA". It matches the Rfam family "Bacterial small subunit ribosomal RNA". The record is from RNAcentral.